This 1875-nucleotide long non-coding RNA is filed under the name Eucalyptus grandis. RNAcentral's name for it is "long non-coding RNA (EGRA_LNC006307)". Lineage: Eukaryota; Viridiplantae; Streptophyta; Magnoliopsida; Myrtales; Myrtaceae. The record is from RNAcentral.
UCAUUCAUCAAAGUAUCGCUUAAUAACAGCAUAUACUACUUUUUCAGACUAUGAAUACUAUAGUCUUGUCAGUUGAGCUGUCCCCCCCCCCCUACUUUAAGCUUACCACAGCUUAUAUUCUCCAUAGUUGCAUCUACUUUUUAUUAAUCUUCUUAAAUAAAGUGUAUAGGACUGGUUCUAAACCGAUUUGGUCCAAUUUCCAGUUAAGGCAAUCCGAUCGCUCACCUUAUCAACUGUUACUAGAAAAAAACUGCCAGACAUCCACCCUUAUCAACCGUUGCUUCAUCUAUGUAGAAAAAAGUGCUAGACAUCAAACAAAUUGGUAUAAAGUAUACCCUAUUCUUUUGCUCGAUUGGACUCAGGAGAAAAAAUUCAAAUUUAUUGGACUCUCCUAUAAGAUUGGUUUUUACCUUUUUUAUAUGACGGUUUGGAUUACAUGAGAGUCUGAUGUUAAGCGUGCUUGUUUAGGCGAAAGCACAAAGCUAUGUCUUGGAAAAAGUCCUUGCUUAAAAAACGCUUGGACAUGGAAACUCCAACUGGUUCCUAGGUCCCUAGCAUCCCACCAGGUCUCUAGAACCGGCCCGUGUCCAUCGACGCUAGGCUCAUGAUACUGGUGCUUGUACUUGGAUCUGGUGCCCCUACCUAGAUCUCGACACCUUCACUCAAGUCCAUCGAGGCAAAGCUUGGGCCACAGAUGCUCACACCCAGGUCCAUCGAGACCUAGCCUGACGCUUCAACACUCAGGCUAGGGUCCACAAAGGCUGAGUGAGAGAUCUUGAUACCCGAGCUCAAAUCCCCAAUGCCCUGGUCAAGGUCCAUCGUGGCCAGACUUGAGCCUCUAGUACCUGUAUUGGGGUUUCCACUAUCUAAGACUUGAAUAGUAUAUGUCUAUUUAGGAAAAUCAAAUCAGAUUUUCCAUAUUAAAUGACGGAAAAUAUUUUCUGUAUAAUUUUCAAGUUUCGAUUUAACAUCCAAAAAUAUUUUCAUUUUACUAAAAAAUGAUUUCCUGAAAAAUACUUUCAGAAAUAUCACAUUUUUUUAGAAAUAAAUGGAACCUAAACUUGAUAAAAUCCCGUAAUUGAUUAUUUGGAAAAGUAUACUACAUGUAAAAUUCACAUGAAAAUUCACAUGAAAAUCUUUCCCCUUAUAAAAUUUUCGGCUUGCAACUAAAGAACUUCAUACUAGAAAAUAAACAAGCCGUUGCAUCAUGCAUCCAUGGGAGGCCCCACAUCACCAUCCACAAAUCAAAAUCAAAAGGAAGAAAAAGGAAAUUCUAUAAAAAUGAAAAAUCAUUAAAGAUAUGAGAUCAUCGUCAUCGUCAUCCAUCAAAUGAAAAUGCCAUCGGAAAAGCCAUUACCACCGACCCCUGAGAACUCUCUUCCUCCGCGGGUGUAAGAGAUAGGGAGAGUCGCACCCAGAGUGAGCUCGUCGCAGCUCCUGUAUCUGCACCGCGACCGAUGACACUCCCACCAUUUAGCACAUAAGAGCAAAGGAAUCGAAACCACAGCAGACCGAAAUCGAAACAGUCCACAAAGAAAUCCAAAUCCAAACCGUUAAGAGAGAGAGUAGUACCUGAGAGCGGGCCGAUUGACUGCAGACUGACAAAGGUGAGGCCGCGACCCGCGAGACCGAGAGAGAGAGAGGUGUCAGGAGAUAAUUGCAAGAGAGAAAGAUCGAGUGGCGCCGCAGGAGAGACUCGAGAGACGAGAGAGAGGCCAGAUCUGAGUAAGCGCCGCUCAAGAGACGAUCGAGAGGAGAGAGAGAGAGAAGGCCAGAUCUGAGAAAGCGCCGUUCAAGAGACGAGAGAGAGAGAGAGAGAGAGAGAAAGAGAGGCCAGGUUUGAGAAAGUGAGAGCGUACUUGACGCUGCGACUUG